AAUAACCGCAGUUAUAAGUUUCCGUGUCUAAUUUUAAUCGUCCGUCUUAUUUAUUUUUUAUGAUUAGUGCUUUUAUUGUUAUUAGAUUAUAAAACAUGAAUAGUACUUUAUGCGUGAGUUAUGUUUUUUAGUUUUUUUCAAAAGUAUUUUAAAUAAGACAAACAAUUAAAGUUGGACAUGAAAAUUUAUGGUUGUGCUUAUU
This is a non-coding RNA of Oryza barthii, 202 nucleotides long. NCBI's taxonomy places the organism in Eukaryota, Viridiplantae, Streptophyta, Magnoliopsida, Poales, Poaceae. The record is from Rfam.